Molecule: small RNA, 127 nt
Filed under: Marmota monax (woodchuck)
Lineage: Eukaryota; Metazoa; Chordata; Mammalia; Rodentia; Sciuridae
Source: RNAcentral
GCCAGGCGUGGUGGUGCAUGCCUGUAAUCCUAGUGGCUUGAGAGGCUGAGGCAGGAGGAUCGAGAGUUCAAAGCCAGCCUCAGCAACUUAGCAAGGCCCUGAGAAACUCAGUGAGAUCUUGUUUCUA